This 468-nucleotide ribosomal RNA is filed under the name uncultured bacterium. RNAcentral's name for it is "partial 16S ribosomal RNA". It matches the Rfam family "Bacterial small subunit ribosomal RNA", at positions 28 to 507 of the family's 1533-position model. The record is from RNAcentral.
GACGAACGCUGGCGGCGUGCUUAACACAUGCAAGUCGAACGGAAAGGCCCUGAUCUUGUGGUGUGCUCGAUUGGCGAACGGGUGAGUAACACGCGUGUAACCUGCCCUUGACUUUGGGAUAACUUCAGGAAACUGGGGCGAAUAUCGGAUAGGAGCUCCUGCUGCAUGUUGGGGGUUGGAAAGUUUCGGCGUUUGGGGAUGUACUCGCUGCUUAUCCGCUUGUUUGUGGGGUCGUGGCUUACCAAGGCUUUGACGGGUAGCCGGCCCGAGCGGGUGACCGGCCGCAUUGGGCCUGAGAUGCGGCCAGGACUACUGAGGGAGGCAGCAGUGGGGAAUGUCGGACGAAGGGAGGAAGCCUGAUGGAGGAACGCCGCGUGCGGGAUAACGGCCUUCAGGAUGUAAGCCGAUUUCGCCAAGGAAGAAGGGAGAGCUAGAGUGAUGGGUAUCAGAACGCCGGGUAAAUACAUG